Molecule: long non-coding RNA, 247 nt
Filed under: Brassica napus (rape)
Lineage: Eukaryota; Viridiplantae; Streptophyta; Magnoliopsida; Brassicales; Brassicaceae
Description: long non-coding RNA (BNAP_LNC026404)
Source: RNAcentral
AAUUAUUAUUUUCUUGAUAAACGGAGACGACAAAGGCUCCAAACCUUUUUGAACAUCAUCAUAUGUUAGUGUAGGAUGCAACCAAGCAUUAAAACAAUAUUGUCAUAUUUUUUGAAAUUUUCUCAAAAUCUAUGGGCUAACCCCCUACAAAAAUAUCGAGUUUUUGGUAAAUUCGUUAUAUAAUGAAGCCAUAAUCUUUAGUGUUGUUUUAAAAUUUCUACCAUAUUCUAAAUUUGUAUUAAUGUAU